Molecule: long non-coding RNA, 238 nt
Filed under: Pelobates cultripes (western spadefoot toad)
Lineage: Eukaryota; Metazoa; Chordata; Amphibia; Anura; Pelobatidae
Source: RNAcentral
CUUAUUGUUCUUACUGUAAAAAAACCUUUUCUUUGCCUUAGAUGAAAUCUCCUUUCUUCCAGCCUAAAUGUGUGACCUCGUGUCCUAUGUAUAACCCUGUUUAUGAAUAGAUUUCCAGAUAAAGGUUUGUACUGGCCCCGAAUAUAUUUGUAUAAAGUUAUCAUAUCCCCUCUCAGGCGCCGUUUUUCCAAACUAAACAGAUUUAAUUUUUUAACCUUUCUUCAUAACUAAAAUGCUC